This 397-nucleotide long non-coding RNA is filed under the name Malus domestica (apple). RNAcentral describes it as "long non-coding RNA (MDOM_LNC016945)". The record is from RNAcentral. Lineage: Eukaryota; Viridiplantae; Streptophyta; Magnoliopsida; Rosales; Rosaceae.
UUAUGAACUUAUAUUCACAAGUAGUGAAGGUUGCUAGUCACAAUCACGUUAAGUAAAUUCUUGGCAUAAGUUUUAUGCAAAUCAUAGUAACGAGUGCCUCGUCAAUGCUUAUGUUUUUCAUAGAACUUAAUGAUUCUUGCUUGUAUCUCUAUUAUGCAAUUCAUGGAGGGAACUUGUAGGGAAUGUUUUGGGUUGUCGUAUGCAAUCAUCCAAUCCAAUAACUUAUGGAAAAACUGAGGGUUAAUUAGUGCAAUUCAUGGUUAAUUUGGGGCGUUGAGUAUUCAUAGCUUAUCGAAAAGCAACUGGAAAUCGUUUUGUAUGCAAAUGUGACAUGUGUGGAGAAGAACCUCCUAGCUAGCCUUCCAUCCAUAAGUUUCAUUCAAAUUCAUUUUACAAU